CUUUGAGGGACUCCACGUAGUCGAUUGCAAACUGAACACUUCCUUUCACUUCUAGGUUGCCAAAGUCUCCACUGUAAACGCUCAUCACACUGCCGCUCACCUGGGUGCAUCAGAAACAGAUAUAAGCUCUCAGCUACCGGUCCAGCACCACGCCUGCUGCCACGUUCCCACCAUGAGGAUCAAGGACUCACCCUCUGAAAUUGCACAAGAUUCUGGCAAAUUCUAGAAGAAGAAAAAAAUUGCACCUCUCCUUGGUCAGAUGGAGCUCCUGGAAGGAGGGUCUUUGUUUCAUAUACAUUUGCCUUGUGCCUUAAAAAGCAAUGUGCAUGAAGAGUAAAG
Molecule: non-coding RNA, 339 nt
Organism: Peromyscus maniculatus bairdii (prairie deer mouse)
Lineage: Eukaryota; Metazoa; Chordata; Mammalia; Rodentia; Cricetidae
Source: RefSeq, a predicted model, not a curated record